Non-coding RNA from Coturnix japonica (Japanese quail), 516 nucleotides. The record is from RefSeq and is a predicted model, not a curated record. Lineage: Eukaryota; Metazoa; Chordata; Aves; Galliformes; Phasianidae.
AUAGCUGAAUAUUGGAAGAGUUUGUCAUCCUGCCAGUAUGUGAACUAGUUGCUUUAUUGCAAUGAACUGGUAAAUAACUUUUUCGAGGACUGAUAUAUGCUGUUAGUACAAUCACAGCAUUCUUUUCUUCCUAGUCUUUGGAAAGCACAAGGAGAAUUCUUGGCUUGGCCAUUCAGCAAAAUGGUAAAAUCUCCAGAUGUUUCAGGUCAGUUAUAUACACUCAUCUGUGACAGAUGGCUUUGGCUGCUUCAUCGCUUGGCUCUCAAAACAAUUGAUGUUUUUUUGUUCCUCUCAUUUUGUCCUGUUUCCAAGAGGGAGGGCAGGGCUUAGUAGGGUGGGGUAGGGUAGCAGAGGGCAAGGCUGCUUCUGCUUCUUCCUAUACAAAAGUACUUCCGUUUAUAGUUUACUGUCUGUUCCCUAGUUAUAAUUUUAGAAGAAGUUAAGUAUGAUAAUGAAACUCUUAACACCCUUGUACAUUAUUUGAAUCAAAUAAAAUCUGUAUUUUGGAUUUAUCUA